UACGGAGGGUGCGAGCGUUAAUCGGAAUUACUGGGCGUAAAGCGUGCGCAGGCGGUUUGUUAAGCGAGAUGUGAAAGCCCCGGGCUCAACCUGGGAACCGCAUUUCGAACUGGCAAACUAGAGUCUUGUAGAGGGGGGUAGAAUUCCAGGUGUAGCGGUGAAAUGCGUAGAGAUCUGGAGGAAUACCGGUGGCGAAGGCAGCCCCCUGGACAAAGACUGACGCUCAGGCACGAAAGCGUGGGGAGCAAACAGG
This 253-nucleotide ribosomal RNA is filed under the name uncultured microorganism. RNAcentral's name for it is "partial 16S ribosomal RNA". It matches the Rfam family "Bacterial small subunit ribosomal RNA", at positions 524 to 776 of the family's 1533-position model. The record is from RNAcentral.